RNAcentral lists this ribosomal RNA (460 nucleotides) under uncultured bacterium. Its description in RNAcentral is "partial 16S ribosomal RNA". It matches the Rfam family "Bacterial small subunit ribosomal RNA", at positions 338 to 795 of the family's 1533-position model. The record is from RNAcentral.
CCUACGGGGUGCAGCAGUGAGGAAUAUUGGUCAAUGGACGGAAGUCUGAACCAGCCAUGCCGCGUGCAGGAAGACGGCUCUAUGAGUUGUAAACUGCUUUUGUCAGGGAGCAAUUGGCGCUACGUGUAGCGUUAUCGAGAGUACCUGAAGAAAAAGCAUCGGCUAACUCCGUGCCAGCAGCCGCGGUAAUACGGAGGAUGCGAGCGUUAUCCGGAUUUAUUGGGUUUAAAGGGUGCGUAGGCGGAAUGCCAAGUCAGCGGUAAAAUCGCGGGGCUCAACCUCGCUCCGCCGUUGAAACUGGCGUUCUUGAGUGGGCGAGAAGUAUGCGGAAUGCGUGGUGUAGCGGUGAAAUGCAUAGAUAUCACGCAGAACUCCGAUUGCGAAGGCAGCAUACCGGCGCCCAACUGACGCUGAAGCACGAAAGCGUGGGUAUCGAACAGGAUUAGAUACCCUUGUAGUC